AUUUCUCAAAAAGGCAUGAUUCACCCGUUGACACGGCAAUCACUAGGAAGAAAGCCUUUUUGGUGGCCGGCCUGGUGGCGCAGUGGUUAAGUGCGCACGUUCUACUUCGGCAGCCCGGGGAUCACCAGUUCGGAUGCCUGGUGUGGACAUGGCGCCGCUUGGCAAGCCAUGCUGUGCAACAGUACCUGGCAGAUUUUAUGUACCCAAUAAAUAUUGAAUAUUCAACUCUGGAGUGGAGUUUCUGUGCAAAUGGAACUACUCCUGCUGGUAAACUGAUUCUGAUUUGACCACACUGGGAAUUUGAAAUCAAAACAGGCUACUCCAACUUCCCAGAACCUUGAUGAAAACGUUUGUCCCCUUAGGAUUGUUUGUCCAGUUGCAUUUUGGAUGAUCUAGCAGAAGAGCCUCAUGAAAACGAAACACAAGGAGCCCUGGAGGGAGGGAGGAAGAGGAAGUGGGGAACCAAAGCCUGAGAGAGGGCAUGCAAAUGUGUAAAACAAAGACUCGGAACUCCCUUAAUUACAAGGGAAAUUUACCAGCAUUGAUUCUCAAGUAGUUUUCCUAAAGCCUUUCCCGCUCUGGUUCUCCUAGCUCGUCUUGGAAGCACUAGUGUGGAGCUGGGAAGAGAGAGUCUCAGAAAUAUGCAGACUCUUGAUGGGUGAACUUUACAGUCAUGUUCCUUAAAGAUAUUGAAGGUAUAUCGUUAUUCGAGUCAUGAUGUUAAGAUUUGUAGUGUGG
This 738-nucleotide long non-coding RNA is filed under the name Equus caballus (horse). RNAcentral's name for it is "lncRNA (ENSECAG00000057940.1)". The record is from RNAcentral. Lineage: Eukaryota; Metazoa; Chordata; Mammalia; Perissodactyla; Equidae.